Spermophilus dauricus (Daurian ground squirrel) is the source of this 67-nucleotide microRNA precursor. NCBI's taxonomy places the organism in Eukaryota, Metazoa, Chordata, Mammalia, Rodentia, Sciuridae. The record is from Ensembl.
AGCAGCACAGACUUGCUGUGAUGUUCACGUGGAGAGGAGUUAAACAUCACUGCAAGUCUUAACAGCC